GUUGUCGUGGCCGAGUGGUUAAGGCGACAGACUAGAAAUCUGUUGGGCUCUGCCCGCACAGGUUCGAAUCCUGUCGGCGACG
Molecule: non-coding RNA, 82 nt
Organism: Ciona savignyi (Pacific transparent sea squirt)
Lineage: Eukaryota; Metazoa; Chordata; Ascidiacea; Phlebobranchia; Cionidae
Source: Rfam